Molecule: long non-coding RNA, 5429 nt
Organism: Macrobrachium nipponense
Lineage: Eukaryota; Metazoa; Arthropoda; Malacostraca; Decapoda; Palaemonidae
Exons: 3
Source: RefSeq, a predicted model, not a curated record
UGCAAAAAGGGGAAGUCAAGGCACUGGUAUAUCCUAAGAAAGGAAAAUAAAGCAGAAGUUCCCUUCUGCUUUAGCAUAGUUAAAAGUCUUAUGUGGAUAGUUUUCUUUAUCUGUAGAAAAUAUUAAAAAAUAAAAACUCUUCAUUAAAUUAUAUCUGUUAGGAAUGAAAUUACCUCUCCAUAUAAAAGAACUUCAGUGAAUGAUCUUGGUAAUUACUUUUGUUGAAAAUAUAAUUUGAGAAAAUUAAUGUUAUUUUGUAAUCAAAUUACAUCUAUUAUGAAUAGUAAAUAAAGUGAAUAAUCAGGGUACCGUAUUUAACUUAAAUUGAUCUGGCAAUAUUGACUGGUAGUGAGGAUAAAGAAAGUUGACAUUCAUACCUGAAUUUACAAAAGCUAAUUUAUAGAAUUCAGCCUGACGAACAUUCAUUUUACAGGAAUGACUGUAAAUAUUUAUAUAAAUAUUGUAUUCUUUGUUAUUUACUGUAUACUACGGGAAAAAUUAGAAUAGGUAUUUCAAAAGUAUGUUACAUACACAUACUUUAUCAUAAAGCUCUAUUUCACCCCAGUUUUGUUUGUGUUAGGAAGAAAUUAUUAAAGUUAUUAAGAACUAGCUGAGAAGUAUUGUUGAAUGCUUUCAUAAAUAAUGCACUGUACAGUUUUCUUAUGCAACAAUGUCUUUUUCCAGGUUUUUUUAUAAUGCUUGUGAGGCACACUGUUUCAUGAGGAGUGGCUGUGCAACACACAUAAUCAAAUUAAAGUACAUACAGGUCUGUAUGUAUUAAUCUGCUGUGGAAAGAAAAGGAGAGAGAACCCCCAUUACAAUAUUAUUGUAAAAAACCUGGUUAUGUAUUCCAUGCAUGAUAAAAGACCUGGAUGUUACAUGGACGAACGUGACAAGACCAUACUCAACCAGCUUUCGCAAGACCCUGUCUACUGUCCCAAUCCGCAGACGUUGAUACCCCAAUCAGCGGAUUUCCUUUCUCUUUUACAAUAUACCUGGAGAAAUCACAGAUCAAGGACUCGACAGUAAUGCCUCUCUACAGGACAUCAACACACGUCACAACUAUGGUCACUUCUGCAAUUUAUACUUUACCUUCUCAGGAAUGUGCCCUUUCAAACUGCAGUAAGCAGAGGAAACAUGAAAAGGGUGCCACCUGUAACGCACCAUCACAUUGUGUCUCAUGCCAGUCAUGCAACCACACAUGAAUCUACAGAGAAUUGUCCAGCAGCAGAUAGCACCUGCAGCAACAGGUCUAGUGCUGCCAAUGCAAUUGACAGGGACAUUAUGCAAAGUUCUGCCGGAAGAAGACAAUAGAGCUAAACAGAGUACCACUACCAAUGCCAAGCCUACUUACACUGUUCUCUCUCUCCAAGUAAGAAUCUCAGUUGUUGUUGGACACAGCAGCUAAACUCCGUUUCCCUCCCGUGGUAACAUCACACCCAGGUGCCGAUACCUCUGUUAGGGGCCCUCAACAUCUGGACCUUCUGCAGAUUCCUAGGAACACACUACAACCCCCUACCAGUUACCAGAUGUUCACUGGAAAUGGCUCUUACAAUGAUACCUGCCUUAAGAUCCUACACAGCCACUCCCACCUUAGCUGAGAGAUCUGUUCAGCGAGGUUCCAAGUUCUUCAUCCAAACACCACUGCUGUCAUACAGCCACUGCAAAGAGUGACAUUUUUCUGCCAGUUUCCCAGACCUAUCCUGGAUGUUGCAAUGUCAGUAGGUGUUCAGCUAUGCCUCUUCAUGCCACCACAUUGCCUGCUGAAGACAUAUUUUCUAAAAAUAAGAGUUCAAGGAUGUGCUAAUCAAAGAGGAAGAACUGAAGAAAGCUCCACUCUAGGGAGUGGCAUCCAUCCAAUGCACAGCUAGAUACCAUAUGCCUUCCGGGGACAAUUCAAGGCAGAGCUCGAGUUCAUGGUAGGUCAUGGUAUCAUUAAGACUGCCUGUGAUAAAACUAGCUCAUCUCAGUACUUAUGGACAAAGGCAUCCAAAUCACCGUUGACCUCAAGAACCCCAACAGCCAAGUAAAAGGCAUAGCCCACCCAUCACCCUCAGCGUUGUCUAGCGUCUGCAGUGUUGAUCAUCAAGGCCAAAUUUUUCACCUGUGCAGGUGCCCUGCAUGGGUACUGGCAAAUGCAACUUGCAGAGGAGAACCAAAAGUUAACAACAUUCAUCAUUCCCUAAGGCCAUUUCCAGCACUGCAGAUGUCCAAUGGGACUUGCAGCUACAGGAGAUACCUACUGCCUUCGAGGAGACUGGCUGUACAAGGUGUCCGGAACUGCGUCGAGGUAGUUGACAACAUCGUGCUAUUCGACAAGGUUUUCCCCAGCCUUCUACUCUGAAUCCAUGGGAUGUUGACAAGGUCCUGCAAAUUGGCAUCACACUUGUCUUGUAACAAGACAUUUGUGGUUGCCACAUCCAACGUUACCUCCUGCAGCCUUCAGAUCUCCAAAGAUGGCGUUUCAGCAGACCCCAGCAAACCAGCAGAAAAAAGGAUUUCCCUACCCAGAUGAACUUGAUGGACAUUCAUGGGGUUGGUUAGUGAACUAAAUUGGCUGACUUUGCACCUGAGAUAGCUAACAUAGCCUAGCCUCUCGGAAUUCUUAUGAGCCCCAAGCAUGCAUUCGUCUGUACCACAGAUCAGGUCGAAGCAUUUCGUUGAAUAAAGACUGCCCUGGCUAGCCCACCAAUCUUUACCUCCUUUGAUCCAGCCCUCUCAGUUAUCCUACUAACUCACGCUUCUCAACUCGAUGGACUAGGAUAUGUCCUUCUACAGGAUCACGGCAACUGAAGACUCCACUUACUACAGUGGGCUCUCGUUUUCUAUCAAACGCCUAGAUGCAUUAUACCACGGUCAUGCUGGAGAUGUUAGCGGUAACCUCAGUUAUGUCCAAAUCCAAACUGUACCUGAUAGGCCUCCAACAUUUUACAUUGAUGACAGACUGCUGACCCACUGGUAUCAUUUCUAUACCAUUAAUAUUUGGAUACGUUGAGAACCCAUUUGCAACAACUCAAAAGAAAAUCUCACCGUACCCGUUUGCAGUGUUUCACAAGAAAAUCUCGCCGUAUCUGUUCAAAGCCAAGUCACACCCCACAGGAUGAAAUACACUGUUGAGGCUGGUCCAUACAUCAGGACCAAAGCUAUUGCUCAUGCAGCAGCCCAAGAGGAUGACACCUCAACCCAGGAGAUGGCGAUAGAAUUAUUCAAGAUUAUGUUUCAGCGUGGGAGGACCCGUCGUACAUCCGUCUUCGGCAUGUGUGCUCUCAAGAUUUCAUAGCAAUCGUUAAAGCUUGCAUAGUUGCUCCUAACCUGGAAACUACUGGACAGCCUCUCAGCUGAAGCUUCAUUCUUACUUGAUGGAGCAAAGAUUGCCGUGCCACACUCUCAUAACUCCAUGUGACACAACAAAUACUGUCCAAGCUUGGGAGACUUGCCAGGUUUUACAACCUAAGAAUUGCUUGAGAAAGCCAACGACUGCGAUUGCCAUGCUGCCACCAGAGCUGAACUUGUACAGAGGUUGUACAAUCAACAUGCACAUCCCCUACUGAGGCUAUAAGUUGGACAAAGGUCAGGAUCCAAUUUCUCACUGUUGGGACAAGGUUGGGACUGUCAUAAGUCAUGGCAGGUCAAGGGAAUAAAAAGUACUUAGAUCUCCCCAGCAGAUGAGUAUACUGGAGGAACUGGAGCUGACCCUCUACUUAACAUCCCUGUGGACCUUCACGUGGACACAAAAGAGUCCUUAAAGAGUCCUCUGACAGCCCUCCUACAGGCUCAUGUAGAUCUCUCAAGUUUUCAAGAUGAAGAACCCACUCAAGGUGGGACUAAGUGCAUGAAGGGGGAAGGGAGGUGUAGAUACUAGAAUCUAUAUGUAAAAGUUAAAUAUAUCUUAGUUUUACCAGACCACUUGAGCUGAUUAACAGCUCUCCGAGAGCUGGGCCGAAGGAUUAGCUAUUUUUACGUAACUAGGAACCAAUUGGAUACCUAGCAACGGGAUCUUCAGCAUAUUGUGGGAUCCGAACCACAUUAUAUCGAGAAAUGAAUUUCAAUCACCAGAAAUAAAUUCCUCUGGUUCCGCGUUGGCCGAGCCGAGAAUCGAACUUCAGACCACCGGAUUGGCAGCCAAGCGCGAAAUCGACUCAUCCAACAUAGAACUAAAGAAUCUGUAUGUAACAUGCAUGUGUCAUUGUAUAAUGCAUUCUCACCUUGAUAAAAUUGGUAAGAUGCAACUAUAUUCUUAGUUCCAUGUGGGCCGAGUGCAUUUCGCGCUUGCUACUAAUCCAGUGGUCCUUAGUUCGAUUCUUGGCGUGGCCAAUGUGGAACUAGAGGAUUUAUUUCUGGUGAUAGAAAUUAAUUUCUCUAUACGAUGUGGUUCGGAUUCCACAAUAAGCUGUAGGUCCCAUUGCUAGGUAACCAAUUGGUUCCUAGUCACGUAAAAAAUAUCUAAUCCUUUGGGCCAGCCCUAGGAGAGCUGUUAAUCAGCUCAGUGGUCUGGUAAAACUAAGAUAUACUUAACUAUAUUCCUGCCUCACUCGUAUAUUGAUAAGUGGCAACCAAAUACUUUGAAAUCCAAUGCCUAACAGUAUGCUACUUCCCCUCUCCAAGUUUGGUUGCUCAUAUGCAUUGUCCUUGUCAAAUUUGUAACAUAACCUAAUAAAGAACCUACAUUUUAGAUGAGCUUGUUUUAUGUUUCAUCCUAAUCAACAGAUGACAUUCAACGAGUAAUAACUGGCCUAUAAAAACCUUCAAACUAGAAUAUACAUAUAGCAAUAUAAAAACUCUCAAACCUGAAAACCCUUUACAGCCCAUUUUCAGCUAGGUACUAACACCAAUAUUUAAAAUUCAGUGCCCUUCUCACCCCUUAUACAGUAUUCCCAGCAUUACUGUAUUGUCUAAUCCCUUUUGCAGUAUUCUCAGCACUACUGUAUGGUAUAACCCCUUAUACAGUACUCCCAGCUCUACUCAAUAGUGUUGUCUAAAGUCUGUCUUCUACAGUAUCCCUACAGGAUUCCAAAGCUCCCCUUUGCCUGGCAUUAUUGUUCCAUGAGAUGUUGAGAUCCCUGGCAGCUUAACUGUAGGUCACAUCCUGGGCAGGAUAUAGUUGUAGGGACCCAUACAUCAAACAAGGGAACCAGUCGACUGCCAGAUGAAUGGUGUGGUAAUGGUAUCACCAUUGGGAGUUCUAUUUGCACAUCAUUGAUGAGAGGCCCUCAGCAAUAUGAUCCCCUUACCCCUUCAAUACCAUCAUUAUAUUAAUCAACACCAAGGAAACGUAGAAACCUGGAGAAUGUGGCAAUGGGAUCGCCAUUGGGAGUUCUGUUUCCCAACUUCUAUGUGGACAUCGUUGAUGAGAGGUCCUCAGUAAGAUCCCCUGCCCCCUUGGUAACAACACUUUCUUCAGAAUCAAGGAGAAUCUCGUUGAUGAGAGG